This 497-nucleotide ribosomal RNA is filed under the name uncultured bacterium. Its description in RNAcentral is "partial 16S ribosomal RNA". It matches the Rfam family "Bacterial small subunit ribosomal RNA", at positions 28 to 507 of the family's 1533-position model. The record is from RNAcentral.
GACGAACGCUGGCGGCGUGCCUAAUACAUGCAAGUUGAGCGCUGAAGGAUGGUACGUGUGCUAACUGGGUGGGCAACGGACGGGUGAGUAACGCGUAGGUAGUCUUCCACUUAGCGGUGGACAACAUUGGGAGACGAAUGCUAAUACUGCAUAAAAACUUUAAACACAGGUUGUAAGUUAGAAUGAUGCAAUUGCAUCACUCAAAGAUGAUCGCGGGUUGUAUUAGCUAGUUGGUGAGGUAAAGGCUCACCCAGGCGGUGAUACAUAGCCGACCUGAGAGGGUGGUCGGCCACCUUGGGACUGGAACACCGGCCAAACUUCUAAGGGAGGGAGCAGUAGGGAAACUUUGGCAAUGGACGGAAGUCUGGCCGAGCAACGCCGCGGGAGUGGAGAAGGUUUUCGGAGCGGAAAACUCUGUUUGUAGGGAAGAAAGUUGGUGAGAGUGGAACGCUCCUCAAGUGACGGUAACUACCCAAAAAGCAACGGCUAACUACGUG